GACGAACGCUGGCGGCGUGCUUAACACAUGCAAGUCGAACGGUAAGGCCCUUCGGGGUACACGAGUGGCGAACGGGUGAGUAACACGUGGGUGAUCUGCCCUGCACUUCGGGAUAAGCCUGGGAAACUGGGUCUAAUACCGGAUAGGACCACUGCCUGCAUGGGUGGUGGUGGAAAGCUUUUGCGGUGUGGGUUGGGCCCGCGGCCUAUCAGCUUGUUGGCGGGGGGAUGGCCUACCCAGGCGACGACGGGUAGCCGGCCUGAGAGGGUGACCGGCCACACGUGGACUGUGAGAAGGCGCAGACUCCGACGGGAGGCAGCGGUGGGGAAUAUUGCACAAUGGGCGCAAGCCUGAUGCAGCGACGCCGCGUGAGGGAUGACGGCCUUCGGGUUGUAAACCUCUUUCAGCACCGACGAAGCGCAAGUGACGGUAGGUGCAGAAGAAGGACCGGCCAACUACGUGCCAGCCGCCGCAGUAA
RNAcentral lists this ribosomal RNA (478 nucleotides) under uncultured bacterium. Its description in RNAcentral is "partial 16S ribosomal RNA". It matches the Rfam family "Bacterial small subunit ribosomal RNA", at positions 28 to 523 of the family's 1533-position model. The record is from RNAcentral.